RNA transcript from Zea mays, 1209 nucleotides. RefSeq lists it as uncharacterized. The record is from RefSeq and is a predicted model, not a curated record. Lineage: Eukaryota; Viridiplantae; Streptophyta; Magnoliopsida; Poales; Poaceae. The transcript has 5 exons.
AAGGCCCACUAGGGGCCCAUCUACCUAACCCUAUCAGUCGCGCGUCCCUGGCUUCUCUCCCAGCCGCAGCCGCCGCCGCCGCCUCUCUCUCCCUUCCCUCUUCUCUCUGCCCUCACCUCUCUCCCCCUUCCAUCGCCUCGCUAGUAACAGGUCACCGUGUGUGUGCGCGCCAUGGGGAUUCAUCUGUCGCCGCCUGCCCUCGCCUUCUGCCUCUCGGCGCCCACUCGGUUCCAGUGGCCGCUUCGAGGAGGCGCUCGCGCGCAUCGAGGAGCUCCGGGAGCGCGACACUGGCGCCGACGACAGCAGCACAGCCUCGUCGUUCUUGAGCGACGGAGAGGCGGCGUCGCGGCUAGCAGGCAAGCAGCAGUCGCACUCCGCAGAUUUCUUGAGCGACGGAGAGGCGGCGUCCGGUGGCAUUCAGAGACGUGCGUGACGGUCGGAGGUCGUCGAGCGCGUGUAAGCUUGUUGACCAUUUUCAGCAUGUGUAAAUUGGCGGUUAGAUUUCGUUCAAGAAGUAAGUGCUACAUUUCUUGUGUCCUUAAAUCAAUUAAUACCACUACUGCUUGUUCACUGGACAUGUUUUAGCUAGAUAGCAUCCAAGACAAAUAGCGUUGUUGGCGAUCUGAGGCAGCUGGUAGGCAGUCUAGGCUUGGGCGCACGCGAGCCAGAGAGGGAGGGCUGGGAGCACGUCAUCUCCAAGAGCAGCGACGACGUCUCCUACAAGGCCUGGUGCGACAAGCCCACGUUUUCGGCGAUGCGAUGAGGGUUUUCGGCGAUCCGUGCUUGCUAGUUGCGCUCUACGAUCAGGCGGAGGGGGUUUGAGAUGUGAAUAUUCCACUUUUUCAUUCUAGAACAUCAAACCUGAGUUGCUCUACGAUCAGGCGGAGGUUGUUUUGUAGUUGCCAAUUGCGUACAUGCAUUGCAACAGAUCUGGGCUCUAGAAGCUGCUAACUUGGUAGCAGAAAGAUUGAGGCAUUGCAUAGCAAACCACUGGAUCAAAGAGUUUAGUGAAUGGCCACAGUGCAUGUUCUUGAGUUGGCAUCAAAGUUCCUUCCAUAUAAUAAUAACAAAAUAUUUGACAUAAUGAAUCUGUUGGAGGAUAGACUUCAACAUGCAAAUGGAGCCAUUGUUUUGGCAACAAUUAAAGUUUUUCUCCAUUCCCAUGACUGUUGUUCAUCAACAGCAAGAGAAGAAGGAAGACAAGUCAGA